CUCAGUUCGGAUUGGAGGCUGAAACCCGCCUCCAUGAAGUUGGAUUCGCUAGUAAUCGCGCAUCAGCCAUGGCGCGGUGAAUACGUUCCCGGGCCUUGUACACACCGCCCGUCAAGCCAUGGGAGCCGGGGGUGCCUGAAGUUCGUUACCGCAAGGAUCGACCUAGGGCAAAACUGGUGACUGGGGCUAAGUCGUAACAAGGUAUC
This 206-nucleotide ribosomal RNA is filed under the name uncultured bacterium. RNAcentral describes it as "partial 16S ribosomal RNA". It matches the Rfam family "Bacterial small subunit ribosomal RNA", at positions 1287 to 1500 of the family's 1533-position model. The record is from RNAcentral.